This 241-nucleotide ribosomal RNA is filed under the name uncultured Actinomycetes bacterium. Its description in RNAcentral is "uncultured actinobacterium partial 16S ribosomal RNA". It matches the Rfam family "Bacterial small subunit ribosomal RNA", at positions 28 to 276 of the family's 1533-position model. The record is from RNAcentral. Lineage: Bacteria; Bacillati; Actinomycetota; Actinomycetes.
GACGAACGCUGGCGGCGUGCUUAACACAUGCAAGUCGAACGGAAAGGCCCUGCUUUUGUGGGGUGCUCGAGUGGCGAACGGGUGAGUAACACGUGAGUAACCUGCCCUUGACUUUGGGAUAACUUCAGGAAACUGGGGCUAAUACCGGAUAGGAGCUCCUGCUGCAUGGUGGGUGAAGUUCGCGUUGGGAUGGACUCGCGGCUUAUCAGCUUGUUGGUGGGGUAGUGGCUUACCAAGGCUU